RNA transcript from Prosopis cineraria, 6677 nucleotides. RefSeq lists it as uncharacterized. Lineage: Eukaryota; Viridiplantae; Streptophyta; Magnoliopsida; Fabales; Fabaceae. The record is from RefSeq and is a predicted model, not a curated record. The transcript is spliced from 9 exons.
UGCUCGUGGGAGCUCUCAUGAUGUCUAUCAGAAGCUCUCUCUUUACAGAUACUGCAGAUUUGGCUUGAGUUGCUUCUUUCUGGAUUUUCUUUGCAUACAAACGGUUCAAUUAUUGCAUGUGGUUUUGAGUAUAUAUUUUGUUGCCGUUUGAUAUAUAUGCCUAUCGAGACGAAGGUUAUGCAGAAGCGUUUGUUGGAUCAGAAUUUUAUUCCUUUCUGAGACAAUUAUUCUAUUAUAAGGAUGAGCGAAACAUGGAAAAUUAUUACCUUGCAGUGAUUGAAGCUUAAUUCCUUUGGUGAGCCAAAAACAGAGACUUCCCUAUGAAACUCAAGGCAUUAUAAAACAGAGUUGAAUUCUCCAGCCAAAAAGAUGAUGAGAAGUGUCGAAAGUGUUACAACAGAUCUUGCCCAGAAAUGUGUGGAUGGAGCAAUAAAGGAAGCUCAUUAUUUUUGUUGUUUCAAUAGCUAUCUUGAAAACUUUGAAACAGAAAAGAAUAGACUGUCUGCAAAAAGAAGGGAGCUGAAGAAAGAUAUUGAUGAUGCCAAGAAAAGAAAUGAGAUUCACAUUGAGGAUGGAGUUAAGCAAUGGAUUGAUGAAGCUGAUUCUCUCAUUCAUAAGGACACUAAAACAAAGAAAAAAUAGUUUAAUAGUUUGUGUCCUAAUUGUAUUUGGCAAUAUCGACAAGGCAAAACAUUGGCAAAAAUGGCACAAGAUGCGGUAGAUUUAAUAAGGAGAUGUGACUUCAACAGAGUGGCACGUCCAGCUGAACUCCCAGGCAUAAAAUACCACACAUCACAAGACUUUAUUGAUUUUGAGAGCAAAAAGUCAAAAUUCAAAGAACUUAUGAUGGCAUUAGAAGAUGAAAAUUACUACAUGAUUGGAUUGCAUGGUAUGGGGGAAACGGGAAAAACCACGUUGGCAACACAAGUUGGCAAACAAGUUGAAGAAUCCAAAGCAUUCCAUAAAGUCAUCUUUAUUGUAGUGUCUACUCCUCCAAAUAUCAAGAAGAUUCAAGGUGACAUUGCAAGGCAAUUAGGUUUGCCUUUAGAGGAAAGAAGGGAAGAAGAACAUUCAAUGCUUUUGUGGUCCAAAAUUUCUAAGGAUAAUGAAAAAAUACUCAUAAUACUAGAUGAUGUGUGGGAAAAGAUAAAUCUUGGAGACAUAAGGAUUCCCUCUAGUAAUAAAUAUAGGAAAUGUUGUGUUUUGAUAACCACUCGCAAUUCAAAUGUUUGUGGAGCAAUGGGAUGCCAGCAAACAAUUCACUUAGAGAUAUUAAAUGAUAAGGAUGCAUUGAAUCUUUUUUUGAUACAUGCUAUACGUUAUGGCAACUCAUUCAGUAGUGAUAUGGAGAAAACAGCACUAGACAUUGUAAAGAAAUGUGGAGGAUUAGCUAUUGUGAUUGUAGCAUUAGCAAACACAUUAAAAAAUUGGCCUACAUGUGAGUGGAAGCUAGCUUUGACAACUAUACAAAAUUUUGAGACAUUAGAUGAUGUUGAUGAAGAUUUGAUAGAAGUUUAUAAUUGCUUGAGCUUGAGUUAUAAGAAUCUAAGGAAUGAAAAGGCAAAAAAGCUAUUCUUGUUGUGUUCUCUCUUCCCAAAAGAUUAUCAAAUCCUAAUAAACCUUUUCAUUAGACUUGGUAUUGGUGCAGGAAUUUUUGGAGAUGUUGACAAAUAUUAUCAAUCCAAAUGGCAAGCUCUUGGGGUGAAAAAUGAACUCAUAGCUUCUUCAUUAUUGAAGGUUGAGAAAGAAUGUAUAAAAAUGCAUGAUUUAGUUCGUGAUAUGGCCUUAUGAAUAUCAAAGGAAGACAUUCAAGUGAUUAUGGAUUCAAGAACAAAAUUAAAAGCAAAUAAGCGAUUUUUGUUUUGGAAUAUUGAUGAUUUGCCUGAUGAGUUUGAUGGUACAAAACUUGAGAUUCUAUUUCUUUGGGUAAAUGGAAAGGUUUUGAAGAAAAAACCAUAUUCUUUCUUUGCUGGGAUGACAAGGCUCAAAGUUAUGUUCUUACACUGUAAGUAUGAUAAAAAGCAUCUCCCUCCAUUAUUAUCAGAGUCACUUCUUUCAUUAAAGAAUAUCUGAACUGUGGUUCUAAAUGGCUGGAUACUAAAUGAUCUCUCUAUUUUGAAAAAUCUACAAAGUCUUGAGACUCUUGAGAUGGAAAAUUGUUUAAUCAUUAAACUGCCCCAUGAAAUUAAGGAAUUGAAUAAGUUGAGAUUGUUGGGGUUAAGAAAGUGUAGAAUUGAAAGGCAUAAUCCUUUUGAGGUAAUUAAAAGAUGCUCACAAUUACAAGAACUGUACUUUGUUGAGAAUAAUGAUAUUCAAGAUUGGAAGUCAUCAGAAAGUGAUAAUGGAGAAAAUAUCGAAGUAGUCACUCAUGAUACAUCUCCUAAUUUGCAAAUGUAUUUUAUAGCUUGUUCUGGUCUUGAUUAUUUUGAAGAUGUUGAUAAUGGCCUAUUAAAAUGUUUCAACACAAAACAUGUAAGAAAUUUGAUCCCAGAUGCCAUGUUUAAACACCUUGUGGAAAGAGCAGAAGUUCUUGAGUUUGGAGAAAUAAGAGAGGAAGGAUGGAAAAGUCUUAUCCCUGAUAUAGUUCCUAUGAAAGACAAUAAUAACUUGAAUGAUUUAAUAAAACUUUGUUUGUGUUAUUUGGAUGACAUGGAGUGCCUCAUUGAUACAACCAGCAGAAAUAAUCAUUAUUCUGAUGUGAUAGUCUUCUCCAAGUUAGUUGAGCUUUAUUUAUAUCACAUGAAUGUUAAAGAAUUAUGUCAAGGUCCUUUGCCUUCUAACUUUCUCAGGCAGCUAUAGAUUUUAAUUCUAUAUGAUUGUGGGAAACUUCACAACAUAUUCUUUGAUAGAAAUCUUAUUCUACCUCAUUUAAAGACCUUGGAAUUGCAAGAUUGUCCAAUAUUCCAACCAUCACUUUUCCAACUAUCUGUUGCUCAAAGUCUAGCACAAUUAAAAGAGUUAAUAAUCAUUAAGUGUGAAAGGCUAAAAAGCAUCAUUACGUAUGACAUGAGUUCAUCAGAAAAGGAUCAAAUAAGGGAUGUUAUUGGAAAAUUGUUUCCAAAAUUAAAAUCUCUUCGAAUUGAAACUUGUGGAGAGUUAGAAUGGAUAUCUCCAUUCCUUUUUGAUGGAGAUCUUCUCUCUUUGGAAGUUAUAAUCAUACGAAAGUGUGUGAAAUUAGAAUACAUUUUUGGUGAAUAUCAAGAUGAUGAUGGCCAAAUUCUAAAACAAGAGGCCAUACUUCCUUCUCUGACUGAAAUGGAACUUGAUGAAGCUCCAAGUUUGAUCAGUAUAUUUCAAGAAUGUAACAAAUGCAAGCAAAGACCAUGCAAAGUAGUGAAAGAUGAUUCAAAGGAGAUAUUAUUAGGUGCAAACUCCAAGACACUUUCUUUAAUCUCUUGGGCUCAUGGUUGUUGUUUUCUCCCUACAACUAAGGACAUUGAUGUUGUAGUUUCUAAUGCCACAUUGCAACAUUGCACAAUCUCAUAGGAAUUAUGUGAACAAGUGAAACGGAUUGAAACAUUUCAUACAACUAAAUGUCUUUUGAGACAACCACUAAACUUACAAAAUGUAAGGGUGAUGGAUCUUUAUAAUUGUUCAAAUUUAAAGUCAUUGUUUAUUAUAUCUAUUGCCACGUUCAUCAUGUUAGAGAAAUUGAAAAUUUCAUGGUGCGAUGAAUUGAAGCACAUAAUAUCAAAUGAGGGAGAUGAUCAUUAUCAUGGUCAUAUAAAUUAUGGUUCAAUUUUCCCAGCAUUACAGGAGAUUAGCAUCAGGAAUUGUAGAAAGCUAGAGUUUUUAUUUCCUUCCAUAUUUUCAAGAGGCCUUAAGAAAUUAAAAAGUAUAGAUAUUGAAGGAGCUUCAGGACUCAAAUAUAUUUUUGGGGGAUACAAUAAACAUGAAAAAAAGAUGGUUCCUAUUGAUCUUCCAGCUUUGGAAAUGUUAUCCCUUGUACGUGUACCAAGAAUUAUCAGCAUGUGUGCUAAAAAUAAUUAUAUAGUGUGGCCAUCUCUACAUAAUAUUACUUUGAUGAGUUGUUAGGAGUUGUUGAUAAGACCUUUUCCAAGUUUGAUGGUUUGUCUACAAGGAAGACAAUAGAAGUUAGAAAGUGGAGAUCAGGAGUUGAUUAUGAGAGCUUCUUUAGAUUUUAUGGCUUGUUUACGAGGAAGACAACCAAAGUUAGAACAUGAAUUGAUGAAAAGUGUGAUGGAUAUGCAAAACUUGACAAGUCUUGAGGUAGGGGGCUCAGAAGAAAUAAAAAAGAUCUUUAAUAUGGAAGGAAUUAAAAGUGAUAGAGUAGUGACAUUAAGCUUACAAGUCAUGAGGUUGAAAUGCUUACGUGAGUUAAGGCAUAUAUAUAAGGAUCCUAAUAAUAUUUUGAGCCUUCAAAGUCUCAAGGUCGUAGUAAUAAGUGAAUGUGAUAAACUCAUAGCUAUAUUUUCUGCAUCAACGUUGAAAAGCCUUCCAAGAUUGUCCUACUUAGAGUUAAUAAGUUGCAAAGAUUUAGUUCAUAUCAUUAAAGAAGAAGAAAAUGCAUAUCAUAAUUGUCAUCAUCAAUUGAUGUGCUUCCCAAUGUUAGAACAAAUUCGAGUUUAUUACUGUUGUGAGAUGAGAUCUCUUUUCUCAAUUUCAACAUCUAGCAUGCUUCCAAAACUGGAGAUGUUAGAGAAGCAUCCUCUAGGAUCGAGCAAGUAUUCACAUGCCAUCAAGAAGAUGCUGCACAAGAGAUGGUGAUAGAGAACAUGUUUCCAAAUUUAUCAUAUUUAAGACUCAUAGACUUGCCCAAGCUUAGAACCAUUUGCCGGGGGAUUGAUUUUCAAUCUGUGCCAAAUUUUGAAGUGUUUUACUGUCCCAUAUUAGAGGGUAAGAAACCUGAAAAUUCAUUCACUAUGCAUAAUUUCCAUAUUUUAUUUGCAAUAUCAAUCUAUCAAUAUAAUGCAUAUAUAGUGUAAAUCUUCUUCGUUGACAUUAUGUAAUGUAUAUGUGGUUUAUUUGAAAAUUAUUGUAUAAUACUUAUAGGUUGUCCAAAUAUAAGUAUAAAAUGGAAAGUCCUACAUUGAAUAAGAUCAACUUUAUAAGUGGUUUUAAGUUGGUAUGGAGUGUCCUACUACUUCUAUAGCAUUUGUUAGGGAUGGAGAGAAACCACCUUAAAACAAAAGGAGAGAAUAAAUGAGUGAGAGCAACAGGAGGAUGCCAUAUCUUAACUCAAAAUCUCAAAAAUUAAGUUUGUAUUUUUUUUCUUUUAUUAUAUAUUACCCUAUUAAGCUUAAUUUUAUUUGAUAUGGGACUUCCAACAUUAACUUAAGUGCUUUCAUAGUUGGACAACUUAAUGAUAUUCUAUAUUAUUGUUAUAUUGAAAACCCUUGUGAAAAUUGCUUUUCAACUCCUUAUAAUGCCUCAAAGUCUUAAUUCAGAAAAUGAAGAAGCGUUGAAGGAGUUACAAUCUUCUUGUUCCAAUACCAAUCUAGAUUCAGAAAAUCAAGGAACAAUAAAAGAGCCACAAUUUACACAUUCCAACACUAUUGAUCAAGCUAUGCCACAUGAGGUAGAAGUGAAAAAUGAAUAAGAAAUAGAAACACCAAAGCUAACAAGUGCUUUACCAGCUAACUCAACAGAGAAUUUUAUAGAUGGAACGAAGAAAAUUAUUGAAGAAGUUCCCAUUUCAAAAAUAUCAGCAAUGGUACCAUCAUCAUUUGAUUCUGCAAUCACCAAAGGACUGAGUGAAGGAAGUACUCAAGAGGACACUACAAUCAUGAAAGCUAAAAUAGUUACUUCGUCGAUCCAUUCACAAGUAGAGGGCUCACAAUCAAACCCAUCUACAAUGGUAAUUUUACUACCUUUGAAACUUAUAUCAUGUUUUAGUUAACAUAUGUUUAAAUAUCAACUAUUUAUCAUAACUUUACAGGUUAAUGUCAUCAAAUAUUUUUCAUAUAUAUUUCAUUCAAUAUAAUCUUUGUUAAUUCAAAUGUUGCUAGAAGUUGAAUUGGAUAGCAUUUAUAUCAACUAGCUCUAACUGUUUUUUUUAACCUCUAUGUAUAUAUAUAUAUACGCGUUUGUUAGGGAAAAUAAUUAGUAAUAAAUAACUAAAUUAAAUGAAUGUUACUUAAAUAAAACUAAGUCAUAUAUAUGAAUGUUUUCAAAAUCUACAAUUGAGUUUCAAGCAAUCUUGUAUUGAUGAUCCUUGAAGCUUAAUUGCAUAUCUACAGUUCACCUUAAAGGAUUUUCAAUGUUUGGCACUUCAUCCUAAAAUUUUCACUUAUUUGGUGCUUAUCCCUAGUUUUCCCUUAAGACUAACUUUUCAACGAUGCCACAUAGACUAUUAGAGAAUCAAGCAUUGCAAGUGUUCAAGAGGGACCUGAAUUAGAGAAGGUUAAAAAGGUAAACUUAUUAACAUGCUCUCAGGAUUUUAAACCACAACCAAUGGAGGACAAUUAUGUUCAUUCUGAUGUUAUUCCUUCUCAAUAUCAUUGUAAGUUUCUUUCUAUCUAUCACGAGUUCAUGUUUCUUUUUAGUCAUACACUAACUUCUUUAGCAUGACAGAUAAAUUUUGCCUUAAUGAUGCUGGUCCUUCUCCUACACUAGAUAUUAGUGACAUUUUCCAACUUGUGGAGUUAAAGGAUGGGGAAUCAACUUUACUCGCCAAAGCACUUGAGAUAUAUCCUCAAUUAAGGUUAUCUUGUGAA